GGAUANCCUGCCCUUGGGUCCNGGCCAUAACCCCGGGAAACUGGGNAUAAUUCCGGAUAACGCACAUAUGCUGGAAUGCUUUAUGCGUCAAAUGGAUUCGUCUGCCCAAGGAUGGGUCUGCGGCCUAUCAGGUAGUAGUGGGUGUAAUGUACCUACUAGCCGACGACGGGUACGGGUUGUGAGAGCAAGAGCCCGGAGAUGGAUUCUGAGACAUGAAUCCAGGCCCUACGGGGCGCAGCAGGCGCGAAAACUUUACAAUGCGGGAAACCGUGAUAAGGGGACACCGAGUGCCAGCGUCAUACGCUGGCUGUCCAGGUGUGUAAAAUACACCUGUUAGCAAGGGCCGGGCAAGACCGGUGCCAGCCGCCGCGGUAACACCGGCGGCCCGAGUGGUGAUCGUGAUUAUUGGGUCUAAAGGGUCCGUAGCCGGUUUGGUCAGUCCUCCGGGAAAUCUGAUAGCUCAACUGUUAGGCUUUCGGGGGAUACUGCCAGACUUGGAACCGGGAGAGGUAAGAGGUACUACAGGGGUAGGAGUGAAAUCUUGUAAUCCCUGUGGGACCACCUGUGGCGAAGGCGUCUUACCAGAACGGGUUCGACGGUGAGGGACGAAAGCUGGGGGCACGAACCGGAUUAGAUACCCGGGUAGUCCCAGCCGUAAACGAUGCUCGCUAGGUGUCAGGCAUGGCGCGACCGUGUCUGGUGCCGCAGGGAAGCCGUGAAGCGAGCCACCUGGGAAGUACGGCCGCAAGGCUGAAACUUAA
RNAcentral lists this ribosomal RNA (761 nucleotides) under uncultured archaeon. Its description in RNAcentral is "bacterial SSU rRNA". It matches the Rfam family "Archaeal small subunit ribosomal RNA", at positions 102 to 859 of the family's 1478-position model. The record is from RNAcentral.